RNAcentral lists this unclassified non-coding RNA (519 nucleotides) under Xenoacremonium falcatum. RNAcentral's name for it is "Xenoacremonium falcatus sequence contains ITS1, 5.8S rRNA gene and ITS2". The record is from RNAcentral. Lineage: Eukaryota; Fungi; Ascomycota; Sordariomycetes; Hypocreales; Nectriaceae.
UGGGGGUCGAACGGCAGGGCUCCGUCGCGUUCCGGUGCGAGAUAUUGCUCUACGCAGAGGAAGCUCCAGUGUACCCGGGACUGGAUUUCGGAGCCGGCCAGCCACGGGGGCGUCCGAUCUACAACACCAAGCCCGGGGGCUUGAGGGUUGAAAUGACGCUCGAACAGGCAUGCCCGAACCAAUACUGCCGGGCGCAAUGUGCGUUCAAAGAUUCGAUGAUUCACUGAAUUCUGCAAUUCACAUUACUUAUCGCAUUUCGUUGCGUUCUUCAUCGAUGCCAGAACCAAGGAGAUCCGUUGUUGAAAGUUUUAAUUUAUUUGCUUGUGUCACUCAGAAGAUUCAUAUAGAAAACAAGAGUUUAGGGUCCUGCGGCGGGCGCCUGGGUCCGGGCCCGGAGGCGCCGGGGCGAUCCCGCCGAGGCAACAAAAGGUAUGUUCACAGGGGUUUGGGAGUUGAUAACUCGGUAAUGAUCCCUCCGCUGGUUCACCAACGGAGACCUUGUUACGACUUACCCCUUCA